Molecule: ribosomal RNA, 467 nt
Filed under: uncultured bacterium
Lineage: Bacteria
Description: partial 16S ribosomal RNA
Rfam family: Bacterial small subunit ribosomal RNA
Source: RNAcentral
GACGAACGCUGGCGGCGUGCUUAACACAUGCAAGUCGAACGGAAGGGCCCUGCUUUUGUGGGGUGCUCGAGUGGCGAACGGGUGAGUAACACGUGAGUAACCUGCCCUUGACUUUGGGAUAACUUCAGGAAACUGGGGCUAAUACCGGAUAGGAGCUCCUGCUGCAUGGUGGGGGUUGGAAAGUUUCGGCGGUUGGGGAUGGACUCGCGGCUUAUCAGCUUGUUGGUGGGGUAGUGGCUUACCAAGGCUUUGACGGGUAGCCGGCCUGAGAGGGUGACCGGCCACAUUGGGACUGAGAUACGGCCCAGACUCCUACGGGAGGCAGCAGUGGGGAAUAUUGCACAAUGGGCGGAAGCCUGAUGCAGCAACGCCGCGUGCGGGAUGACGGCCUUCGGGUUGUAAACCGCUUUCGCCUGUGACGAAGCGUGAGUGGCGGUAAUGGGUAAAGAAGCACCGGCUAACUACGU